Molecule: ribosomal RNA, 420 nt
Filed under: uncultured soil bacterium S047
Lineage: Bacteria
Description: bacterial SSU rRNA
Rfam family: Bacterial small subunit ribosomal RNA
Source: RNAcentral
GGCCCAGACUCNUACGGGAGGCAGCAGUGGGGAAUUUUGGACAAUGGGGGCAACCCUGAUCCAGCCAUGCCGCGUGCGGGAAGAAGGCCUUCGGGUUGUAAACCGCUUUUAUCCGGAAAGAAGGAGUCGAGGUUAAUACCCUCGAUGACUGACGGUACCGGAGGAAUAAGCACCGGCUAACUACGUGCCAGCAGCCGCGGUAAUACGUAGGGUGCGAGCGUUAAUCGGAAUUACUGGGCGUAAAGCGUGCGCAGGCGGUUCGUUAAGUCAGCUGUGAAAGCCCCGGGCUCAACCUGGGAACUGCGGUUGAAACUGGCGGACUAGAAUCUGGCAGAGGGGGGUGGAAUUCCACGUGUAGCAGUGAAAUGCGUAGAGAUGUGGAGGAACACCGAUGGCGAAGGCAGCCCCCUGGGCUGAGAU